This 24-nucleotide non-coding RNA is filed under the name Arabidopsis thaliana (thale cress). Lineage: Eukaryota; Viridiplantae; Streptophyta; Magnoliopsida; Brassicales; Brassicaceae. The record is from RNAcentral.
UGCCAUUGCCACCAAAGGUGCUGC